UACGGAGGAUGCGAGCGUUGUCCGGAUUUAUUGGGUUUAAAGGGUGCGUAGGCGGUCUGUUAAGUCAGCGGUAAAAUUGCGGGGCUCAACCCCGUCGAGCCGUUGAAACUGGCAGACUUGAGUUGGCGAGAAGUACGCGGAAUGCGCGGUGUAGCGGUGAAAUGCAUAGAUAUCGCGCAGAACUCCGAUUGCGAAGGCAGCGUACCGGCGCCACACUGACGCUGAGGCACGAAAGCGUGGGGAUCGAACAGG
This 252-nucleotide ribosomal RNA is filed under the name uncultured bacterium. RNAcentral describes it as "partial 16S ribosomal RNA". It matches the Rfam family "Bacterial small subunit ribosomal RNA", at positions 524 to 776 of the family's 1533-position model. The record is from RNAcentral.